Molecule: ribosomal RNA, 441 nt
Filed under: Allomonas enterica
Lineage: Bacteria; Pseudomonadati; Pseudomonadota; Gammaproteobacteria; Vibrionales; Vibrionaceae
Description: bacterial SSU rRNA
Rfam family: Bacterial small subunit ribosomal RNA
Source: RNAcentral
UUUGUUGGGCGGCGAGCGGCGGACGGGUGAGUAAUGCCUGGGAAAUUGCCCUGAUGUGGGGGAUAACCAUUGGAAACGAUGGCUAAUACCGCAUGAUAGCUUCGGCUCAAAGAGGGGGACCUUCGGGCCUCUCGCGUCAGGAUAUGCCCAGGUGGGAUUAGCUAGUUGGUGAGGUAAGGGCUCACCAAGGCGACGAUCCCUAGCUGGUCUGAGAGGAUGAUCAGCCACACUGGAACUGAGACACGGUCCAGACUCCUACGGGAGGCAGCAGUGGGGAAUAUUGCACAAUGGGCGCAAGCCUGAUGCAGCCAUGCCGCGUGUAUGAAGAAGGCCUUCGGGUUGUAAAGUACUUUCAGCAGUGAGGAAGGAGGUAUCGUUAAUAGCGGUAUCUUUUGACGUUAGCUGCAGAAGAAGCACCGGCUAACUCCGUGCCAGCAGCCG